GAAAGUAAUGAAGGGCGUACGGUGGAUGCCUAGGCUCUUACAGGCGAUGAAGGACGUGAUAAGCUGCGAAAAGCCGCGGUGAGGCGCAAAUGGCCCUUGACCCGCGGAUCUCCGAAUGGGACAACCCAAUAUCUUGAAGAGAUAUUAUCCCGCCGAUGCGGGAGGCGAACGCGGGGAACUGAAACAUCUUAGUACCCGCAGGAAAAGAAAAUAAAGAAUGAUUCCCCCAGUAGUGGCGAGCGACCGGGGAACAGCCCAAACCGACGUUGUCUCGGCAUCGUCGGGGUUGUAGGACCGCGCCAUCGCAAGAAAGGCCGUGAGUGGAAGCGACUGGAAAGCCGCGCCAUAGAGGGUGACAGCCCCUUACACGAAGCAGCCCGAAGCGUAGCGGACUCCUGAGUAGCGCGGGACACGAGUAAUCCUGUGUGAAUCCGCCGGGCCCAUCCGGCAAGGCUAAAUACUCGUAAGAGACCGAUAGUGAACCAGUACCGUGAGGGAAAGGUGAAAAGUACCCCUUGCAGGGGAGUGAAAGAGUUCCUGAAACCGUACGCCUACAAGCGGUCGGAGCAUCUUGAAUGAUGUGACGGCGUGCCUUUUGCAUAAUGAACCUACGAGUUGCCGUCACCAGCGAGGUUAAGUGCGAUGACGCACCGAGCCGCAGCGGAAGCGAGUCUUAAAAGGGCGCAAUAGUUGGUGGAGGCAGACGCGAAACCGAGUGAUCUACACUUGUCCAGGAUGAAGUCCCGGUAACACGGGAUGGAGGUCCGCACCAAUAAGCGUUGAAAAGCUUCUGGAUGAGGUGAGUGUAGGAGUGAAAGGCCAAUCAAACUCGGAGAUAGCUCGUACUCCCCGAAAGGCAUUUAGGUGCCGCCUGUGGCGUUCCCGACGUGAGGUAGAGCGACUGAUAGGAUGCGAGGGCUUCACCGCCUAUCAAGUCCUGACAAACUCCGAAUGCACGUCGGCCAAGCCAUGGAGUAAGGGCAUGGGUGCUAAGGUCCGUGCCCGAGAGGAGAAGAAUCCAGACCACCGGCUAAGGUCCCGAAAUACUGGUUAAGUUAGACUAACGCAGUCCGGCCCCCAAGACAGCUAGGAUGUUGGCUUGGAAGCAGCCAUUCAUUCAAAGAGUGCGUAACAGCUCACUAGUCGAGGAGCUGGGCGUGGAUAAUAAUCGGGUAUGAAACCAGUUACCGAAGCCGUGGGAUGCUUAAGCAUCGGUAGGGGAGCAUUGCAUGCGGCUUAGAAGGCGGGGCGCGAGCCCCUCUGGAGCGCAUGGAAACGCAAAUGUAGGUAUAAGUAACGACAAGGGGGGUGGGAUGCCCCCCCGCCGAAAGACCAAGGUUUCCUGAACAACGCUAAUCGGUUCAGGGUCAGUCGGGUCCUAAGCAUAAGCCGUAUGGCGAGGGCGAUGGACGAAACGGUUAAUAUUCCGUUACUGUCUUGGUGUGUGACGCGGCGACGGAGUAGUGACACGGCCGCCUCCUGACGGAAAAGGGGGUUGAAGCGCAAAGGUGUCGAGGAAGGCAGGCAAAUCCACCUUCCGAGCCGAAGCGCGAAAGUACGCCGGGCCCUUUGGGGCAAGGCGAUAGUGCCGGUAAUCAGACUUCCAAGAAAACCCGCUAAACUUCAGCACCAAGUCACCCGUACUCUAAACGGACACACGUGGUCGGGUAGAAUAUACUAAGGCGCUUGGGAGAUUCACGGUUAAGGAACUAGGCAAAUUGACCCCGUACCUUCGGAAUAAGGGGUCCUCGCUUUUGCGAGGCGCAGAGAAUAGGUCCAGGCAACUGUUUAACAAAAACACAGGGCUGUGCAAAUUUGAAAGAAGAAGUAUACAGCCUGACACCUGCCCGGUGCCGGAAGGUUAAGAGGAGAGCUCAUCAGCGAUGAGAAGGCUUGAAUUGAAGCCCCGGUAAACGGCGGCCGUAACUAUAACGGUCCUAAGGUAGCGAAAUUCCUUGUCGGGUAAGUUC
Molecule: ribosomal RNA, 1970 nt
Filed under: human gut metagenome
Description: bacterial LSU rRNA
Rfam family: Bacterial large subunit ribosomal RNA
Source: RNAcentral